GGAUGCGAUCAUACCAGCACUAAAGCACCGGAUCCCAUCAGAACUCUGAAGUUAAGCGUGCUUGGGCGAGAGUAGUACUAGGAUGGGUGACCUCCUGGGAAGUCCUCGUGUUGCAUCCC
Oryza sativa Indica Group (long-grained rice) is the source of this 119-nucleotide ribosomal RNA. The record is from Rfam. Lineage: Eukaryota; Viridiplantae; Streptophyta; Magnoliopsida; Poales; Poaceae.